CUACGGGCGGCUGCAGUGGGGAAUAUUGGACAAUGGGCGAAAGCCUGAUCCAGCCACGCCGCGUGAGUGAUGAAGGCCUUCGGGUUGUAAAGCUCUGUGGGGAGGGACGAAAAAGUUCCGGACGAAUAGGCCGGGACCUUGACGGUACCUCUUUAGCAAGCGCCGGCUAACUCUGUGCCAGCAGCCGCGGUAAUACAGAGGGCGCAAACGUUGCUCGGAAUUACUGGGCGUAAAGCGUGCGUAGGCGGACGAAUAAGUCGGGUGUGAAAUCCCUGGGCUCAACCCAGGAACUGCAUUCGAAACUGCUCGUCUAGAGUACUGGAGAGGAAAGCGGAAUUCUUGGUGUAGAGGUGAAAUUCGUAGAUAUCAGGAGGAACACCAGUGGCGAAGGCGGCUUUCUGGACAGUUACUGACGCUCAGACACGAAAGCGUGGGGAGCAAACAGGAUUAGAUACCCCGGUAGUC
This 465-nucleotide ribosomal RNA is filed under the name uncultured bacterium. Its description in RNAcentral is "partial 16S ribosomal RNA". It matches the Rfam family "Bacterial small subunit ribosomal RNA", at positions 339 to 795 of the family's 1533-position model. The record is from RNAcentral.